Molecule: non-coding RNA, 399 nt
Organism: Pelobates cultripes (western spadefoot toad)
Lineage: Eukaryota; Metazoa; Chordata; Amphibia; Anura; Pelobatidae
Source: the annotation of a GenBank genome assembly
UAAUCAAAUAACAAAACUUGAUGGAGGUAGUCUGCCUUUUGUCAAGCAUUUAUAUGGGUGAAUUGCAUUCUGAAGUGUGCGAUCAUUGCAAAAUAGUGAUGGUGUUAAACCAAGAGAAUCAUUUAAGGGAACAUUGCAAGUACAAUAACGGCUUCUGUAAUGGUUGUGGUGCUAGAAGUGCGUUGCUACACGGGCAGGGUAAGUAGUUAACCAGCAUCUGCCUGUACUAGAGGAGGCUAACUUAUCCCAGGUAAGUUGUCAAACCAUUCUCAAAUGAUUUUACGGUUUGCCCUGGGAUGGUGCCAGGAUGCAGUGGGCUGUAGUGUUUAUGGUGUUUGGCAUAUUGCUUUAACUUUCUAUAGCACUGCUGAGCAAAAUUCAUAAUCUGUUGCUUAUGGG